Long non-coding RNA from Lolium rigidum, 1763 nucleotides. RefSeq lists it as uncharacterized. NCBI's taxonomy places the organism in Eukaryota, Viridiplantae, Streptophyta, Magnoliopsida, Poales, Poaceae. The record is from RefSeq and is a predicted model, not a curated record. The transcript has 2 exons.
CCCAUCUCUCCCUCCCCGCGUCGCUCCGUCAUUUCCCCUCCGCCUGUGACACGCCUGAGCGGCGGACAGCUCCGCACGCGAUUGGAGCCGAAUAAGAAACCAGCGAGGUGACGAUCGCACUGGUGGUCUCAGUUUUUACAGGUUUCGCCGGUAGCAGAGGAGACAUGGGUAAGAGGAGAAGAAAGGAGACAUAGGGGGACCAGAUGAGCCGACUCGUCCAUGUGAUGUCACUCCGGCUGCAUCUUCUGUUGGUUGUCCCUCCUACCCAUGUAGAUCCCAUGUCAACAAUUUGCCACAAAAGGCAUGUAGGAUCGUCCAUGUAUAAGAAAGACCAUAUUAAUUCCAGAUCUGCUUGCAUUGCAAUGUAACUUAUCUUCUAAAAGUAGGGACAUGGUCAAUGAGAUAAUGAGCUGUCUGCAAAAGCUCAUUCCAAACUAAAGGACAGAUGCAUGCUACAACCAAGCCCCCAGAAUUUACCUAGAUUCUUCAACAUGGAAGCUGCAAAACAAUCGGUAUUUUUUCCACGGGGUAUUUGGCCUUAAUUUGUAUGCACAUUGAAUGAGGUAUUGUUCCUUGUUAUUGGAUGAGCACCCAACUGUCAAGAAAGAAAAUGCACUGUACUAAAGUUGUGUAUUUUCUACUGAUGUGCGACAGAUCAUACGAAAUAAGCUUGCUAUUUUAAAGGAUGGAGGAAUUCAAUCGCUGGAUUACUGUACUCUAGGUGGAUAUAUUAAUGAGAUUGUUGAUAUGACUUUGUUCUUUAUUUGAUUUUUCAUGUUCUAAGGUAGAUGAGGUCACUUGUAAUAUUGAUAUAUGCAAAAUAGCAAUUUUUAACCAAUCCGAUCAUUUUUUUCUACGGAGUUUUACCACAAACUUUCUCAUAUUUACACAUGAAUGUGAUAAUUUUCUUGAUUGUUUUCUUGCGCCGUCAGUUUAUCUUUUCACUUGCCAGUACUGUAUUAUAACUCUUUACCAAACUUUUUAAGCCAUUCACAUGUUUCCACUAUGCAAUUCAUGCUUGUUCUCACUCUGAAGUUGACAAUGUGCAGUAUUAAAGUGUUGGUCUGCUCCUUUUAGUUUUUAUGUAACUAUUUGAAAUAUUCUUAUAUUGUGAUGCGACACUAUGUAAAGUUACCUGAAAUCAAGUGUGUCAUCGGUUUUAUCCAUGCUACUAAGAAAACUGCUUUUACUCUGAUGUACUCAUUGGCUAUCAACUUUUAUGAUCUGCAUUUUACUUUUUUUUCUUCAAAUUUAUUUAUGUGUCUGAGUAUGCAGGUAACCUUUGGUGUUUUCAAGAUAGAUAUCUAAAAAAAGUGUUGUGUCUUGAAGUAGUAAGGCUGCAAGAUGCACCAUUUAGUAGUUGGGAGUUGGUCGAGAUAUUUCCUUCUCAAUGCACAUCUGACAAUGUAUUGAAGUGGUACAGCCGGUCCUCUCAUAUCCAUUAGACCCAAAAUAAAAACCAGUCCUCUCCUACAAUUGUACUAUUUAGCUCUUUUGUACUACCAUUCAAUAUAUAGGUUAGUUCAUCUAAAAAUCUAUUUAGGUCAGUUAAUUAUAUCCCAUGUUUUAUGCCUCCAUAUAUAGUUUGCCAGUGUGUAGGUACAAAUUAGUGACCAGGGAACACUGCUGCUCCAACCUACCAGCGAACACUACUGCUCCAACCUUGUGUCCAAGUUAUCUAUGAACUGGAGCUACAACAUGUACAAGAUUGAUUGAACCCUAUUGCUAAAGUUGAAGUUGGAGAGAAAGCUCGGAUUUCAUUA